Molecule: ribosomal RNA, 347 nt
Filed under: uncultured Desulfocapsa sp.
Lineage: Bacteria; Pseudomonadati; Thermodesulfobacteriota; Desulfobulbia; Desulfobulbales; Desulfocapsaceae
Description: bacterial SSU rRNA
Rfam family: Bacterial small subunit ribosomal RNA
Source: RNAcentral
AGACAGGUGCUGCAUGGCUGUCGUCAGCUCGUGUCGUGAGAUGUGGUUAAGUCCGCAACGAGCGCAACCCCUAUCUUUAGUUGCCAUCAUUGAGUUGGGCACUCUAAAGAGACUGCCGGUGGUCAAACCGGAGGAAGGUGGGGAUGACGUCAAGUCCUCAUGGCCUUUAUGACCAGGGCUACACACGUACUACAAUGGCCGGUACAAAGGGCAGCGACACAGCGAUGUGAAGCGAAUCCCGAAAAGCCGGUCUCAGUCCGGAUUGGAGUCUGCAACUCGACUCCAUGAAGUUGGAAUCGCUAGUAAUCGCGGAUCAGCACGCCGCGGUGAAUACGUUCCCGGGCCUU